GCGAAAGCGGUCUAUCGGAGGAUAUUUGAAAAUCCUUGUGUCGGUGGUUCGAUUCCGCCCCGGGCCACCA
This 70-nucleotide transfer RNA is filed under the name Polynucleobacter duraquae. RNAcentral describes it as "tRNA-Und (NNN) (tRNA-Und-NNN-1-1)". Lineage: Bacteria; Pseudomonadati; Pseudomonadota; Betaproteobacteria; Burkholderiales; Burkholderiaceae. The record is from RNAcentral.